Molecule: ribosomal RNA, 913 nt
Filed under: uncultured bacterium
Lineage: Bacteria
Description: bacterial SSU rRNA
Rfam family: Bacterial small subunit ribosomal RNA
Source: RNAcentral
AGAGUUUGAUCCUGGCUCAGAAUGAACGCUGGCGGCGCGCCUAACACAUGCAAGUCGAACGAGAAAUCUCGAGCUUGCUCGAGAGAGUAAAGUGGCGCACGGGUGAGUAACGCGUGGGUAACCUGUCCUUAAAUUUGGGAUAAUCCACCGAAAGGUGGCCUAAUACCAAAUACGGUCCUAAGAACCAAGGUACUUAGGAUGAAAGCUGACCUCUUCGUGAAAGUUGGCGUUUAAGGAGGGGCUCGCGUACCAUUAGCUUGUUGGUAGGGUAAAGGCCUACCAAGGCUACGAUGGUUAGCUGGUCUGAGAAGAUGGCCAGCCACACUGGAACUGAAACACGGUCCAGACUCCUACGGGAGGCAGCAGUGAGGAAUCUUGCGCAAUGGGGGAAACCCUGACGCAGCGACGCCGUGUGAGUGAAGAAGGCCUUCGGGUCGUAAAGCUCUGUCAAGUGGGAAUAAAGUCUCUCGGUGAAUACCCGAGGAAUUUGAAGGUACCACUAAAGGAAGCACCGGCUAACUCCGUGCCAGCAGCCGCGGUAAUACAGGGGGUGCAAGCGUUAUUCGGAUUUAUUGGGCGUAAAGAGCGUGUAGGUGGUUGGGAUAGUCAGAUGUGAAAGCCUUCUGCUCAACAGAAGAAGUACGUCUGAAACUACCCAACUUGAGUACGAGAGAGGAAAGUGGAAUUCCCAGUGUAGAGGUGAAAUUCGUAGAUAUUGGGAGGAACACCUGUGGCGAAGGCGACUUUCUGGAUCGAUACUGACGCUGAGACGCGAAAGCGUGGGGAGCAAACAGGAUUAGAUACCCUGGUAGUCCACGCUGUAAACGAUGGGAACUAGUGUAGCGGGUAUUGAUCCCUGCUGUGCCGAAGCUAACGCAUUAAGUUCCCCGCCUGGGAGUACGUCGCAAGGCUA